Molecule: ribosomal RNA, 489 nt
Filed under: uncultured bacterium
Lineage: Bacteria
Description: partial 16S ribosomal RNA
Rfam family: Bacterial small subunit ribosomal RNA
Source: RNAcentral
GACGAACGCUGGCGGCGUGCUUAACACAUGCAAGUCGAACGGAAAGGCCCCCAUCUUGGUGGGGGUGCUCGAGUGGCGAACGGGUGAGUAACACGUGGGUGAUCUGCCCUGUACUUCGGGAUAAGCUUGGGAAACUGGGUCUAAUACCGGAUAGGACCAUGGUUUAGUGUCUCAUGGUGGAAAGAUUAUUGUUUUGGUGCAGGAUGAGCUCGCGGCCUAUCAGCUUGUUGGUGGGGUAAUGGCCUACCAAGGCGUCGACGGGUAGCCGGCCUGAGAGGGUGGACGGCCACAUUGGGACUGAGAUACGGCCCAGACUCCUACGGGAGGCAGCAGUGGGGAAUAUUGCACAAUGGGCGCAAGCCUGAUGCAGCGACGCCGCGUGGGGGAUGACGGCCUUCGGGUUGUAAACUCCUUUCGUUAGGGACGAAGCCGCACUUUUUUUGGGUGUGGUGACGGUACCUUUGUUAAGAAGCACCAGCUAACUACGUG